GUGAAUCAUCAAAUCUUUGAACGCAAAUUGCACUCUCUUCGGAGAGUAUGCCUGUUUGAGGGUCAGCCUAAAAAAAAUCGACGUAGUCGCUGUUUCGCGGUGACAUUCGUCGGAAAUUGGGUCAUCUUAAACCUUUGGGUUUUUUAAGCGGCUUAAAAUUUUCUUUACGAUUCCACGAACGUUUCUAAGAUUUUUUUUCUUUACACGUUUAAGGUGUCAAAUGUCUAUUAGACGUGACCGUCGCAUCGGAUUGCGUCCAUAAAUCUUUCGUUAACUGACCUCAAAUAGGUAAGAGUACCCG
This 301-nucleotide unclassified non-coding RNA is filed under the name Glomus sp. Its description in RNAcentral is "partial contains 5.8S ribosomal RNA and internal transcribed spacer 2". The stretch from base 1 to 65 matches the Rfam family "5.8S ribosomal RNA", at positions 84 to 154 of the family's 154-position model. The record is from RNAcentral. Lineage: Eukaryota; Fungi; Glomeromycota; Glomeromycetes; Glomerales; Glomeraceae.